Molecule: RNA transcript, 3178 nt
Organism: Brassica napus (rape)
Lineage: Eukaryota; Viridiplantae; Streptophyta; Magnoliopsida; Brassicales; Brassicaceae
Gene name: crustapain-like
Exons: 12
Source: RefSeq, a predicted model, not a curated record
UGUGAAAUUAGGGGGGGGGGGGUCUCAGAAGGAAGAACGCCGCAGCGAACGAACAGAGCCAGAGAGAGAGAGAGAGAGAGAGAGUGAGAGUGAGCAGUGAGCUAUGGCUGAUUUCGACAUAGUUGAGCUUCGGAAACGAUAUGAACUGGUCUGUCAGAGUUUCCCCUCCAUUCCUUCUGACCUCAAACGCGAAUACGAAGAGGUAGAAGGUUUCGUCCAAAAAUGUCUGGAGUUGAAGGAGGAACGUUUCACCUAUAGCUGAGGGAUCUAUUAAACAAUACUGCUACGAUUAUGGGCGGUCUAGCAUAUAAUAUUAUAGAAGAGGCUACAUUCAAAAGUGCUACUUUGAUUGGUCUCAAUGCUGAGCUCGAUCCUUUCAAGACUCGUUUAUCUACCUGUGCAUCUGCAGUCCGAGAAUUUGAACACUCACGAGUGCUUCUCACUGAUGAUCGAGUUGCUCAUCUCAAAGCUCAUGUGGAAGAGAAGUAUGCUUUGUAUCGUGAUUGGUACGAUCAAGAUGCCCCGUUGAGGAAACUAAAACGAGAUAUGUUGAGGCUGCAACACCCUUUUCGCCAACAGCUGGAUUCGCUCCAUCAGAAAAUCUCCAACAACUCUUCAGUCAAAAUCCAAAUUAACCAACUUGUGGAUCAAAUGAGUAAACACAUGGAAACGUGGCCGACCGAGAAACACGUAAAAGACGUAGUGGAGGAUUUGAAAACCAAAGUCAAAGGAUAUGAUUACGUUUCUCAAUCAUUACAUACAGAUAAGAAUCGUCUCAUCGAGCUCCAAGAAUCUCUUGAGAGGUUAAUAACGGAUGUGAUCGGGUUGAUAGAUAGAUUACUGGACAUUAAAAAGGAAUACGAUGUCAAGCUUUUCAGGAUUUAUACCAUCAGAAAAGAAGACUUCCAUGAACUAGACGCUUACCUCUUUGGUCCUAGGGCACCUAAGUCACCUCAAUCCUCGAAAUUCUUUCUUCAAGUGACAAAAUUUGUCCCGAUCAACAAGCUUGUACUUCUCCUAGCUGCAAAACCUAUCUCGGAUAUCACCAUUGUAGAAUGCCGAGAUCACAUCCAGUUUGCAUAUUUAAAAACCGCUGAGGAAGGAGACAUACUGGUGACAGAAGAUGAAUGGGUAAAACUCAUGGGACCCGUGAAAAACCAACUAGAACACGAUAUUUGCUGGGCAUUUGUCACCGCGGAGCUAGUGAGCGCCGUCAGAGUCAGACACAUCUAUAAAUAUGACCCCACCGUUGUGGAAUACUCCUGUCGGGACCUUGUCGAUUUCGUAGAUCAUCAGAAACGUUCCGAAGAGAAGACGAAGGAGAAGUCGGGCAACAAACACUUUUGCUAUGCGCACGGAUUACGCGAAGGCUUUGAGUACGUCAAAGUUAAUGGCAUCCUAAGGGAAGAAUCCCGUCCGUUUGAAGCCAACUGUAGAGAAGAAGUACUUACACGCCAUGGGUCUAACCUCGGCUACAUUGGAGAGGUAGUCUCCUUGACUACUGUCAAAGAAGUUCUUCAGACGCUUCAAAACCACCCUGUUGCUGGAUGCAUUCCCGUCUUUGAACCAGACUACAGCUCUAUUAAUGAUCAACUGUACUACGGCCCUACAUCUCCACUCUCACGUUACGAAACCAUGCAUGCGAUCAGCUUUGUUGGCGCUGGAGGAGUCAAGGAAGGUGAGAAGCAUGUGAAUGCUAGAUCCAGUCACGGUGUUAACUUCGGCAAAGACGGCUAUUUCAAAAUUUGCUUCCAGCACGUGAUAAUCUGCCUCACCCGUGGACACCACAUGAGGUAUCUUGAAGACCCGGUUCUUCUUCCUUGCAGAUUUGUAUACCCAGAGCUCCUAUCUCUAGAAAAGGACAAAGAGAAGAGAAGAGACGACACGAUAUAGAUCUCUUUCUUGGAGGGUGAUUUUGGCAGUGAAGCUGUAGCUAUGGCUCAUAAACUCUUUUAAUUAUUAGUAUGUUUUCCUACUGUCUGUUGACCUGAACAGCGCUUAGGGUUAUUAUGUGUGUUGGUGGAUCGUUCAUUGAUUUAACAAAGGUGUCUCACCGGUUAAGGAAGAACAAGAUCAGCUGUCCAGAACAAUUGCAUCAGCGAGUCACAGCAGUAACCUGUUUCUUCAUCAAGCCUGAGACGGCACAUUAAGGCUUGUGGAAGGACAAGGUGCACCCACGGUUGUUUCCAGCUGUACACACCAUGAGCAUGAGCGUCACAGUCAAGGUAACCACAAAACUUAGUUUGGUAGCCAUUUUCUCUGAAGAUUGAUAUGCUUGAGAUUUGUUUGUGUUUGGUGAUAACCGUAGAGAGUUUAGUUUAUAUAGAGACACUUGGGGCCUUGACUGUUACAUGCAAAUGGUAGAACGAAAAGGCUAAAGUAAUUACAUAGGAAACUCGUUAACUAGAGAACAUAGUGUCUGGAUUCAAGGGUUAACAACAUUACUAGGCUUGAACUUGAGGGACAAAGGCUGUGGUGAGGAGGCAAGAGCAUGUUCAUCACCAUUCUUGUGGUCAGAGUCAUUGUCGUCAUCAGAGUAACCUUGGAGCACGUCACCUUCUUGAGGAGUGAAACCAAGAAGAGCACCAAUCAUAGUAGACCAGCACUUGAGAGAGUCCAACGGUUCUGUAACACCCAGGUCCAGUGUAAUAAGUCUCACCGGUUAAGGAAGAACAAGAUCAGCUCUCCAACAGUGUUGAAGCUGCAUCAGUGAGUCCCAGCAGUAACCUGUUUCUUCUUCAUCAGCGGUAGACAACAACGUAUAAUACUAAAUCUUUUAUAAUGAUUCAAAGUCUCAGACUUCAGACUAUAGUCUCUUAAGCUUCAGCAUCAGCUUCACCCUCUCAACUGCAUCCCUCGUGUUUCUUAACCUGAAUGUUCUUCUCUUCAUCCAUGAAAGUACAACAUACACACUUUCAACCAGAAAAUGCCCCUGAAAGCACAAAACACAUCCAGAAAAAUUCAAUUAUAUAUAUGACAUUCAAGCACAAAACAGAACAGACUGACUACGUUACAGACAAGAAAACAGUAAAGUAAAACCCAUCAUCAAGUUAAGAAAAGAUGCAGAACACCAAUUCAUCAAACUAAAAACAAGACACAACAAUAGCAAGACUAAACAUUACAACAUUCUAAACGACACACACCAGUAGCAAGACUAUAAAUUACACUAAAUCGGUCC